AUUAGUGAAUCAGUCUCUUCAGUGUCCUCCUGCAUCUCCUAGCAAACAGCAAGGAAACUUGACAUGGGUACAGUUGGUCUUUUACUUUUCUUGCUGAUGCCCUACAUUUCAAUUAUUUUCCUGUUGUGACUGUUAGGCAGUAGUUUGAGCCUAUAAGCCUUAAUUAAAAAGACUGACCUCUAAUCUUAAAAGUAGAAAGAGUUUCUUCUAAACCCAAACUGGGAGCUGGUUCCAUUGGAGAGGGCUUGAUAGCUGAAGGCUCUGCCACAGGAACCACAAGAAAGCCUGCUGUGUGAGAGGAAAAUACUGUGCUGGGACAAUGUUAAAACUGUGACCAGUGCUGAACUGGCGCUCUGACGUCUCCAAGGCUCCUGGCCCUCAGGGGCAAGAGUCUGAAAGGGAAAGCCAGAGAGGAGAUUCCGAGGCCAGGCCAGCUAACACAGCAGCAGGGACUCUCAUCACUCUCUCCACACUUCUGCUGUCAGAGCUUUUGUUUCAGCAGCAUUACUCACUCACAAGGCCCUGCCUCCCAGGUAACUACCCUGCUGAACUGGUGCUGCUGCAUGGAGAGAUGGAGCACAGACUCAGCACCACCCUCACAGAAUGUGGGCCGACUGAAUGAUAGCCAGGAAAAAAAAUGAGUAGAAAAGUUCCUCUCUGGUGAAAAGACGCGGUAUAAUAACAGGGUGCGGAUUUGAUUUCAGUCGUCAGCGGCGUCGCUGCUCUCGUGCAUCCGAAUCCUCCACAGACCGAAGAUGGAUUUUAACAACGUUGUGUCUUCUGCUUUCCUUCACACAUUUUCAUUUACUUCCACUGUCUAUUCAAAUUUACAGCUUACCCCCUGGUGUCAUGGCAUAUAGGGAAAAAACAAACAUCAAUAAACGAAAAGGUAGCAUGUUGAACAUUUUUGCAGGCAUCACGCUGUGUUUUUUAAAUGUCCUUUUUUUCCCUUCUAAAUGUUUUGGCAUUUACUUAGUAAUUAUCUAUGCUUUAAUUCUCAUCUACCAAAUUUGAAAUACUCACAGUAAAUAUGAUUGUUUACCACA
This is a long non-coding RNA of Oreochromis aureus, 1046 nucleotides long. RefSeq lists it as uncharacterized. Lineage: Eukaryota; Metazoa; Chordata; Actinopteri; Cichliformes; Cichlidae. The record is from RefSeq and is a predicted model, not a curated record. The transcript has 3 exons.